CCUACGGGUGGCAGCAGUGGGGAAUAUUGGGCAAUGGGCGAAAGCCUGACCCAGCAACGCCGCGUGAAGGAAGAAGGCUUUCGGGUUGUAAACUUCUUUUGACAGGGAAGAGCAGAAGACGGUACCUGUCGAAUAAGCUACGGCUUACUACGUGCCAGCAGCCGCGGUAAUACGGAGGUGGCAAGCGUUGUCCGGAUUUCGUGGGUGGAAUGGGCGUGUAGCGGGGCUGACAAGUGCGAUGUGAAAUCCGGGUGCUCUACCCCCGAACUGCAUUUGAAACUGUUGGGCUUGAGUAUCGGAGAGGCAGGCGGAAGUCCUGGUGUAGCGGUGAAAUGCGUAGAUAUCAGGAGGAACACCAGUGGCGAAGGCGGCCUGCUGGACGACAACUGACGGUGAGGCGCGAAAGCGUGGGGAGCAAACAGGAUUAGAUACCCGGGUAGUC
Molecule: ribosomal RNA, 442 nt
Filed under: uncultured bacterium
Lineage: Bacteria
Description: partial 16S ribosomal RNA
Rfam family: Bacterial small subunit ribosomal RNA
Source: RNAcentral